UCUCAUAAAACAAUGCACCAAAUAUCUUCAAUUAUGUCGACAGCCUACAUUGGGUGAUUAUGAAGACACCAAUCAUUCCAGGCAUCUUGUAUGUUACCGAAAGAUACAAAGUUGUAAAUAUGUUAAAACAUUACAUUCUUCUUAAGCGGCAGGGG
Haliotis rubra (blacklip abalone) is the source of this 155-nucleotide long non-coding RNA. RefSeq lists it as uncharacterized. Lineage: Eukaryota; Metazoa; Mollusca; Gastropoda; Lepetellida; Haliotidae. The record is from RefSeq and is a predicted model, not a curated record. The transcript has 3 exons.